AGAGUUUGAUCAUGGCUCAGGACGAACGCUGGCGGCGUGCCUAAUACAUGCAAGUCGAACGCACUGACGGAGAACUUGUUCUCUUGACGUGAGUGGCGCACGGGUGAGUAACACGUGGGAAACCUACCCUUCAGCGGGGGAUAACCAUCGGAAACGAUGACUUAUACCGCAUAGACGACAGAACCGCCUGGUUCAAUCGGGAAAGACGGCUUCGGCUGUCACUGAAGGAUGGUCCCGCGCUGCAUUAGCUAGUUGGUAAGGUAACGGCUUACCAAGGCGAUGAUGCAUAGCCGACCUGAGAGGGUGAUCGGCCACAUUGGGACUGAGACACGGCCCAAACUCCUACGGGAGGCAGCAGUAGGGAAUCUUCCGCAAUGGACGCAAGUCUGACGGAGCAACGCCGCGUGUGUGAAGAAGGUUUUCGGAUCGUAAAGCACUGUUAUUAGAGAAGAACAGCCGAUAGAGUAACUGUUAUCGGUUUGACGGUAUCUAACCAGAAAGUGACGGCUAACUACGUGCCAGCAGCCGCGGUAAUACGUAGGUCACAAGCGUUGUCCGGAUUUAUUGGGCGUAAAGGGAGCGCAGGCGGUUUGUUAAGUCUGAUGUGAAAGCCCACGGCUCAACCGUGGAACGGCAUUGGAAACUGGCAAACUUGAGUAUAGAAGAGGAAAGUGGAAUUCCAUGUGUAGCGGUGAAAUGCGUAGAUAUAUGGAGGAACACCAGUGGCGAAGGCGACUUUCUGGUCUAUAACUGACGCUGAGGCUCGAAAGCGUGGGGAGCGAACAGGAUUAGAUACCCUGGUAGUCC
This 807-nucleotide ribosomal RNA is filed under the name uncultured bacterium. Its description in RNAcentral is "bacterial SSU rRNA". It matches the Rfam family "Bacterial small subunit ribosomal RNA", at positions 8 to 796 of the family's 1533-position model. The record is from RNAcentral.